CAGUCGCCACGGGAAUACGGAGGGUGCAAGCGUUAAUCGGAAUUACUGGGCGUAAAGCGCACGCAGGCGGUCUGACAAGUCAGAUGUGAAAUCCCCGGGCUUAACCUGGGAACUGCAUUUGAAACUGUCAGGCUGGAGUCUUGUAGAGGGGGGUAGAAUUCCAGGUGUAGCGGUGAAAUGCGUAGAGAUCUGGAGGAAUACCGGUGGCGAAGGCGGCCCCCUGGACAAAGACUGACGCUCAGGUGCGAAAGCGUGGGGAGCAAACAGGAUCAGAUACCCCUGUAGUCCCUGUCUCUUAUAC
Molecule: ribosomal RNA, 301 nt
Filed under: uncultured bacterium
Lineage: Bacteria
Description: partial 16S ribosomal RNA
Rfam family: Bacterial small subunit ribosomal RNA
Source: RNAcentral